CCCAUCCGUGUAAGCAGGCUCACGCCUUCGUAAUUACCAAUUUUGAAAGUGCUCACGGUCAGUGGUGAUGCGGGACAACCUUGUGCUAACCCGUUCUGCCUGCGUCACUAGUACCUGAACCUCCUCUCCGGGAGGAAGCUGUUUUAUGAUGUCUGCACAUAACUGCCCAAGUUAAACCCUGAAAACACACACGGCUGCAGUGACUAGGAGCCAGGUACUCCUGGGAUUCUCAAGAAAUGUACCUUUCAAGUUCUGUCGUGAGUGAAAAUGGCAGAAGACAUCCACCUUUUCUUCACUGCUCCGGAUCUCUCAACUGACCUCCAAGGCAUAUUUUCCAGCUCAAUCUUUAUCAUCAUUGGCUUCAGACUGCAGUGGUUACUUGUGUAGUGUGUGAAGAGGUAAACCCCAUUCCUGCUGACAUUUCUUUCUGGGAUGAAGGUCUCUUUCUUUGGGAGGUAACUUGUGUAGAGAAGAAACAUGGAUCUAGAAUCAAAUCCCAAACCUAUGCCUCCAAAUUAUAGAUC
This is a long non-coding RNA of Mustela erminea (ermine), 524 nucleotides long. RefSeq lists it as uncharacterized. The transcript is spliced from 3 exons. Lineage: Eukaryota; Metazoa; Chordata; Mammalia; Carnivora; Mustelidae. The record is from RefSeq and is a predicted model, not a curated record.